This is a non-coding RNA of Peromyscus maniculatus bairdii (prairie deer mouse), 745 nucleotides long. Lineage: Eukaryota; Metazoa; Chordata; Mammalia; Rodentia; Cricetidae. The record is from RefSeq and is a predicted model, not a curated record.
UAAAAUCAUUUUGCAUAGGAAUGUGAUAUAUUCCGACUCAAGACAGUCGGGAUUUUCCCAAACCCUGGUCUUCAGGCAUCACUGGGGCAACCUCUAGGAGCUGGAGGGUUGUGAGACUCCCUGUGAGGGCUGAGAGAUGAUGGGGAACAAGGGUCCUCUGAUGUCUGGGAUGCUCCCACAGAAUGCUCUGGCCAACCAGAACACCGGGGCUCCUAGUCACACGGCAACAGCACCAUCUGCACCCAGCCCAUCUAAAGGCUGAAAGGGCAGGGACAUUUAUUCCCAUCUGUCUCAGGGGCUGCAUAGAGGCAGCAUUAACCCUUUGACUCCUAGGACCCCUCUGUGACCUCAGAGGGGCCUGCUCAGGGAAGCACUGCUCUUGCCCAUCAUGAGAGUUAGCUGUAAACAAACUGGGUUAAGACAGGGAUGGUGGCUGUAUGUCAAGGCACGGGUAAUUUGGUCAUAGGUGAAGGUGACGUUGCCUCAUUUUAGCAGCUGCCUGGAUUGCAGGAAACUCUUUUGCUCUGCAGCUGGCUGGUUUGGGUCCAUGAAGCCUUGAUGCCCAAGGAAUGAGAUAUUUUGAGGGCAGAUAAAAAGCAUCAAAAUCCAGGGCUCCCGUGGUGAAGGCAAGCAGUGAAAACUAUCUUGUUCAUGUCGAGGAGAGCUCUGCUGGAAGGAUAAACGAACUGCCCAGGGGAGGAAGACUGUGGAGGAGCCCGGUGAGAGUGAGUGUGGAGAAGUCCAC